GGAUUAGAUACCCUGGUAGUCCACGCCGUAAACGAUGUCUACUUGGAGGUUGUGCCCUUGAGGCGUGGCUUCCGGAGCUAACGCGUUAAGUAGACCGCCUGGGGAGUACGGCCGCAAGGUUAAAACUCAAAUGAAUUGACGGGGGCCCGCACAAGCGGUGGAGCAUGUGGUUUAAUUCGAUGCAACGCGAAGAACCUUACCUGGUCUUGACAUCCACAGAAGAAUCCAGAGAUGGAUUUGUGCCUUCGGGAACUGUGAGACAGGUGCUGCAUGGCUGUCGUCAGCUCGUGUUGUGAAAUGUUGGGUUAAGUCCCGCAACGAGCGCAACCCUUAUCCUUUGUUGCCAGCGGUUAGGCCGGGAACUCAAAGGAGACUGCCAGUGAUAAACUGGAGGAAGGUGGGGAUGACGUCAAGUCAUCAUGGCCCUUACGACCAGGGCUACACACGUGCUACAAUGGCGCAUACAAAGAGAAGCGACCUCGCGAGAGCAAGCGGACCUCAUAAAGUGCGUCGUAGUCCGGAUUGGAGUCUGCAACUCGACUCCAUGAAGUCGGAAUCGCUAGUAAUCGUGGAUCAGAAUGCCACGGUGAAUACGUUCCCGGGCCUUGUACACACCGCCCGUCACACCAUGGGAGUGGGUUGCAAAAGAAGUAGGUAGCUUAACCUUCGGGAGGGCGCUUACCACUUUGUGAUUCAUGACUGGGGUGAAGUCGUAACAAGGUAACCGUAGGGGAACCUGCGGUUGGAUCACCUCCUUACCUUAAAGAA
RNAcentral lists this ribosomal RNA (768 nucleotides) under Salmonella enterica subsp. enterica serovar Enteritidis. RNAcentral describes it as "bacterial SSU rRNA". It matches the Rfam family "Bacterial small subunit ribosomal RNA", at positions 775 to 1533 of the family's 1533-position model. The record is from RNAcentral. Lineage: Bacteria; Pseudomonadati; Pseudomonadota; Gammaproteobacteria; Enterobacterales; Enterobacteriaceae.